UGGUGAACCAGCGGAGGGAUCAUUACAGAGUUGAAAAACUCCCCUAAACCAUUGUGAACCUACCACUAAACAGUUGCUUCGGCGGGUGGGCGCCCCCUCCCCAGGGAAGGGCCGCCCCGCUAGACCGCCCGCCGGAGGUACCCAAAACUCUUGUUUAACUAAAAGGCCUCUCUGAGUACUGUACUUAAAUAAGUCAAAACUUUCAACAACGGAUCUCUUGGUUCUGG
RNAcentral lists this unclassified non-coding RNA (227 nucleotides) under uncultured fungus. Its description in RNAcentral is "partial contains 18S rRNA, ITS1 and 5.8S rRNA". The record is from RNAcentral. Lineage: Eukaryota; Fungi.